This 253-nucleotide ribosomal RNA is filed under the name uncultured bacterium. RNAcentral describes it as "partial 16S ribosomal RNA". It matches the Rfam family "Bacterial small subunit ribosomal RNA", at positions 524 to 776 of the family's 1533-position model. The record is from RNAcentral.
UACGUAGGGUGCAAGCGUUGUCCGGAAUUAUUGGGCGUAAAGAGCUCGUAGGCGGUCUGUCGCGUCUGCUGUGAAAACUCGGGGCUUGACCCCGGGCCUGCAGUGGGUACGGGCAGACUAGAGUGCGGUAGGGGAGACUGGAAUUCCUGGUGUAGCGGUGAAAUGCGCAGAUAUCAGGAGGAACACCGGUGGCGAAGGCGGGUCUCUGGGCCGUAACUGACGCUGAGGAGCGAAAGCAUGGGGAGCGAACAGG